This is a non-coding RNA of Styela clava, 272 nucleotides long. The record is from RefSeq and is a predicted model, not a curated record. NCBI's taxonomy places the organism in Eukaryota, Metazoa, Chordata, Ascidiacea, Stolidobranchia, Styelidae.
GAAGAGGUGACGUUGCUCUACACCCAGAAACCGUGACUUGAAGAAUGUGGCAUUAAAAUAAACAGAAACUGAAGAAUCUGAUUAUGCAGGCAUGAACAAAUUGUCUGCCCCAACUCUGAACUGUGAAAAAUUCAAUGUCUAAGGCUUCAUAAUAUUUGAGAUUCUUACUAACAUGUUAUUUCAAGGAAGAAGUAUUUGAGGUACCUCUUCCAUCUGAUCUACAAAGUUUGGUAAUACUGGAAAAGUCUGUAUCGAUUGAUUGCCCACAGAUU